This 399-nucleotide transfer-messenger RNA is filed under the name Flavobacteriales. RNAcentral's name for it is "PHOS-HE28 sp016703105 Standard tmRNA". It matches the Rfam family "transfer-messenger RNA". From Rfam's summary of the family: Bacterial tmRNA, also known as 10Sa RNA or SsrA, is named for its dual tRNA and mRNA-like properties. Its role is to liberate the mRNA from a stalled ribosome. The record is from RNAcentral. RNAcentral also lists the same sequence under 1 other name. Lineage: Bacteria; Pseudomonadati; Bacteroidota; Flavobacteriia.
GGGGCCGACCUGGUUUUGACAGCGGCUUGGUGGUGUGUGUAAGCAGGCCGAGCGUGAGGUGCGGCUCGUUAUCCCAGUGCCUCAACGCCAUAACUGGCAACGUAGACUACGCUCUCGCAGCUUAAUAGCCUAAGGCUAUUCCGCUUAAUCCACGCGAAUAACAGUAGCGUGGACGAGUGCCCCUCGGGGAGGCCCGUCAUCCUCCUUCCCGGAACCGGGGUAUCAUCUUGGAAGACUGGCUCAUGCGGUGGUCCGUAGCAUGGGUAAGACACAGGACCUAAGCCGUCACUAGGGUGCCCUUUCCCAGGUGAUGGUCGAAAACCAAUAAAGUGGCUAAGCCUGAAGAAAGCGCAUGGCACGGUCGUUUGGACGAGGGUUCGAAUCCCUCCGGCUCCACAA